Molecule: ribosomal RNA, 663 nt
Filed under: uncultured Chloroflexota bacterium
Lineage: Bacteria; Bacillati; Chloroflexota
Description: bacterial SSU rRNA
Rfam family: Bacterial small subunit ribosomal RNA
Source: RNAcentral
UGGCGAACGGGUGAGUAACGCGUUGGUGACCUACCCCAAAGUGUGGGAUAACAGUCCGAAAGGAUUGCUAAUACCACAUGUGGUCUCCGGGUUUAGAAACCGGUGACUAAAGGAGCAAUUCGCUUUGGGAGGGACCUGCGUCCCAUCAGCUAGUUGGUGAGGUAAUGGCUCACCAAGGCGACGACGGGUAGGGGACCUGAGAGGGUGGCCCCCCACAAUGGAACUGAAACACGGUCCAUACACCUACGGGUGGCAGCAGUAGGGAAUAUUGGUCAAUGGGCGAAAGCCUGAACCAGCAACGCCGCGUGUGCGAUGAAGGCCUUCGGGUCGUAAAGCACUUUUCUGGGAGAUGAGAAAGGACAGUAUCCCAAGAAUAAGCAUCGGCUAACUCCGUGCCAGCAGCCGCGGUAAUACGGAGGAUGCAAGCGUUAUCCGGAUUCAUUGGGUUUAAAGGGUCCGUAGGCGGUCUUAUAAGUCAGUGGUGAAAGCCCAUCGCUCAACGAUGGAACUGCCAUUGAUACUGUAAGACUUGAAUGCUUAGGAAGUAACUAGAAUAUGUAGUGUAGCGGUGAAAUGCUUAGAUAUUACAUGGAAUACCAAUUGCGAAGGCAGGUUACUACUAAGUGAUUGACGCUGAUGGACGAAAGCGUGGGGAGCGAACAG